UCUGAUAAAGAUGCCUUCCUAAGUAUUUUUUAAGACUACUCACUGAGUAGUCACUUUAGGAGACCUUUGAGGUAAGAUGUAUAUUAUCUUGGAUUAUUUUGGUUAAACAUCUUAGUUGGUGGAUUAAGAGAAAUUUAGCCAGAUAAUGCAAAGGAAAAGCCUUUAGAUCUCUGGCAACACAGAAAGCUUCGCCUCUGCCCAGCUUCCUGCUGACCAGCUGCUGGCUAAGGUCUGAGUGUGGGUUGCUGCUGGACCUGGCUUCAGCUUGGAGUCCCAGAACCACUCAGACCUGGGAAUGUGUGGCAGUGGCUUCUGCCACCAGACCAACUGGCUCUUUGUGAACCAGCCAGUUUUAAUGGACUUGAAGGAAAUAUUCUGUGCCAAAGAUCCUCGGGACCUCCCAGCGACUGGGCACCCAACAUGCAAGCCCAUCCGACCCGAUCCUCUUUCCCCUCGUCACCUGCGAGAGCUCCCUGUCGGAUAACAGCCAGGUGUCUAUGGGCUGCCUGGCACGGGACUUCCUGCCCAAUGACAUCGUCUUCUCCUGGACCUAUGACAAUAGCUCUAAGGUGAGCCAGGUCGUCAGAACUUUCCCAGAGGUGCUGAUAGGAGGCAAGUAUACAGCCACCUCCCAGGUGCUCCUGCCCUCCAAGGACAUCACCCAGGUCACAGACAGGCACCUGGUGUGCAAGGUCAAGCAUGGCAGCAAAAACAAGAAUGUGGAAAUACCAUUUCCAGCGACCAGCGAGCAGGCUCCCAAUGUGACCGUGUUUGUCCCACCCCGAGACACCUUCCUCGACUCUGGAGAAUCCAAACUCAUCUGCCAGGCCACGGGCUUCAGCCCCAAGCAGAUCACAGUGUCCUGGUUACGGGACGGAGUACCUGUGGGGUCUGGCUUCAUCACAGACCAGGUGGUAGCUGAGAGCACAGUCUCCCAGCCCCUGACCUUCAAGGUUACCAGCACACUGACCAUCACCGAGGUUGACUGGCUGGCCCAGAAGGUGUUCACCUGCCGCGUGGAUCACAAGUCAGGCACCUUCAAGAAGAAUGUGUCCUCCUCCGUGUGUAUCCCCACAACUCCAUCCAUAGAAAUCGAAGUCUUCCCCAUCCCACCCUCUUUUGCUGGCACCUUCCUAAACAAGUCUGCCAAGCUGACCUGCCUGGUCACCAGCCUGACCCACCGUGGAGGACUGAAUAUCUCUUGGGCCAACCAGGAUGGCAAGGACCUGCCAACCAAAAUUGCAGAUCCUGUGAGCCAACCUAACGGCACCCUCAGUGUCAAGGGUGAGGCCAGUGCCUGUGUGGAAGACUGGGACUCUGGGAAGGCAUUCACGUGCACUGUGAUUCACCAGGACCUGCCCUUCCCAUUGAAGAAGACCAUCUCCAAGCACACAGAGCAAGCCAAGCACCCACCUGCCGUGUAUGUGCUGCCCCCAGCCCGGGAACAGCUGGUCCUGCACGAACAGGCCACCGUCUUCUGCCUGGUGAAGGGUUUUGCACCCGCAGACUUCUUUGUGCAGUGGCUACAGAGUGGGCAGACCUUGUCCUCGGACAAGUACGUGACCAGCGCCCCGAUACCCGAGACCCAGUCUCCAGGUCUCUACUAUGCCCACAGCCUGCUGACAGUGACCGAGGAAGACUGGAGCUCAGGAGAGACCUUCACCUGUGUCGUGGGCCACGAGGCCCUGCCCCACGUGGUGACUGAGAGGACCGUGGACAAGUCCACUGAGGGGGAGGUGAACGCCGAAGAAGAGGGCUUCGAGAACCUGUGGACCACUGCCUCCACCUUCAUCGUGCUCUUCCUGCUGAGCCUCUUCUACAGCACCACAGUCACCUUGUUCAAGGUUAAGUGAUCCAGCUGUGGGAGGACACCAGAGACCAAGAGCCCAAUUGCAGGGCCUGGGCUGGGGAGGCCUGGCUGUAUGGCCCUAGACUUGUACCUCUUCCUAUGGUCUGUGAUCUAGGACACAGGCUUCUUUCCACACCAGCCCAAUAUUUCUACCAUGUUCGCAGUGCUGGGUCCCCGUGCUCUGCUUUGCUGUUUGCACACAUGUUGUUCUGAAAUAAAUGCCAAUGUGCUCUC
Molecule: non-coding RNA, 2083 nt
Organism: Fukomys damarensis (Damara mole-rat)
Lineage: Eukaryota; Metazoa; Chordata; Mammalia; Rodentia; Bathyergidae
Source: the annotation of a RefSeq genome assembly